Cyprinus carpio carpio is the source of this 645-nucleotide long non-coding RNA. The record is from Ensembl. NCBI's taxonomy places the organism in Eukaryota, Metazoa, Chordata, Actinopteri, Cypriniformes, Cyprinidae.
GCACACUGUUCCUUACUUGCUAUUGUUGGCACGUCGCCACUCGGCGGAGUAGGGGUCCAAAGCCGCGAGCGGGCAUGUAUAUAAAAGACGGUCGUCUCACAACACCGGUGCACGUUCUUCUCCACAGGGUUUUCUCUCCCAGCCUAGAGGGUGAUGACUGACAACAUGACACAGCACGACACUGCAGACUUCAAGUAUACACACAGCAAAGAAAAGGACUCGCCCACUACACUCCACACACUCACAGUGAAUUAGGGUCAAAACCACAUAGGACCGGGGAUUAGUUCCUGGACGUUGGGGGCACCGAUGCAGCAGACGGCCAGAGGGAACGUCACAGCCACGACAAGGCACCAGACUCCUUUUUCGCUGGUUCCGGCUCACCCACCAAUCCUAUUACGAUAACCGACAUCCGACACAACUGGCAGCACGAUCUCCUUCCUGCAAUCCUAGCAGAUCUUCAAUGUGUGUUAACUUCACAUCACACAAUGCAUCUGAACACAAUGCUCCAAUAAAGAUAUUCGUAUACUCAGCCCUGUAUGUGUAUCUCUCUUUGCCCAAGCUCCGCACUCCGCAGUACACCAUACACUCUCUCUCCAACUCUCUCCUCCGCUCCGUUGCGCCCACAGUAACUACUGGGAAUCACCA